This is a non-coding RNA of Vicia faba (fava bean), 300 nucleotides long. The record is from the annotation of a GenBank genome assembly. NCBI's taxonomy places the organism in Eukaryota, Viridiplantae, Streptophyta, Magnoliopsida, Fabales, Fabaceae.
AUGUUGCAAAGAUCUUAUGCUUUCAAAUACACAUUUUCUUUAAAAGUUUCUUUUACAAGAGCUUUCAAAUUUGUAAGUCCUAAGUUUUUAGGAUACAAGACUGAAAUGGAUCCUAAUCUAAGUCCUAAUAUUGCUAAUGAGGUAUUCAUCUUCACUUCUCCAAGUUCCCUCCAAGACUCAUUCUUCUUCCAUCUUCAAGCUCGCCAUAGCCAUUGCCUCAACUUCAUCUUCAAAUUGUUCUCUCAUCCUUCUUCAAGCAUUCCUCCUUGCUUUUUUCUAGCUCGUCCAUCAAGUUUAUGA